CAGCAGCCACGGGAAUACGUAGGGUGCAAGCGUUAAUCGGAAUUACUGGGCGUAAAGCGUGCGCAGGCGGUUCUAUAAGACAGAUGUGAAAUCCCCGGGCUCAACCUGGGAACUGCAUUUGUGACUGUAGAGCUGGAGUGCGGCAGAGGGGGAUGGGAUUCCGCGUGUAGCAGUGAAAUGCGUAGAUAUGCGGAGGAACACCGAUGGCGAAGGCAAUCCCCUGGGCCUGCACUGACGCUCAUGCACGAAAGCGUGGGGAGCAAACAGGAUUAGAUACCCCUGUAGUCCCUGUCUCUUAUAC
This 301-nucleotide ribosomal RNA is filed under the name uncultured bacterium. Its description in RNAcentral is "partial 16S ribosomal RNA". It matches the Rfam family "Bacterial small subunit ribosomal RNA", at positions 509 to 807 of the family's 1533-position model. The record is from RNAcentral.